Camelina sativa (false flax) is the source of this 712-nucleotide non-coding RNA. Lineage: Eukaryota; Viridiplantae; Streptophyta; Magnoliopsida; Brassicales; Brassicaceae. The record is from RefSeq and is a predicted model, not a curated record.
GUUGCCAGGUCCUAAUCUAGUUUUAGUUUUGUAUGAAAACGCAGCAAUUAUGCAUGUUGCAACAAAAUAUUUGUCUCUCUUUUAAGAAAAACAAAAAAAAACCAGAACGAACGAACCCAAACGAAACGAGAGAGGGAAGAAGAGAAUCGUCAAAGUGUUAAAGUGGUGGUGAAGGAAGAAGUUGAGCAUGGAACCUGAACAUACAGAGGCUCUUUUAAACCAUUUGGAGAAGCGAAAUGGAUUGCUCACAGAAACUCAUAAAACCAUGACUCAAGAACUCUAAAAGCUUCAGGUGGAAGAAGAGAUGAUGAUGCGGAAGUUAUAUGAGCUGAUGUCUACAUAUCGUCAAAAUAAGAAGAAAAUGGAGGAGACUCAAAAUGUGUCACAUGGUAAAGAAAUAGUGGUAGUGGAAGCUUCUGAUACGAUGUCUAGCACAUCCAAGGCGUUAAUCACAUAUGUGAGAAGAAGGAAAAAGAAUCAAAAGCCAACACAGUGAAGAUUUUCAGUUCUUGUGUAAGUUAGUUUCUCUUUAGUGACAUGUUAGUUCUACUUAUUAUCUCUGUAUUUUUUUAAAAGGGUAUUUGCGAUGUUUUCUAGUUUUUACGAUGGCUCUUAUGCCUAUAUAGCGGGUAGUAGUCUUCACCUUGUUUAUGCUUGUAAAAUGCAGCUUAAGUUUUUUUUUUUUGAGUGAUGAAUAAAACUGUUUAUGAAA